AUACGUAGGGGCCAAACGUUGUCCGGAUUUAUUGGGCGUAAAGGGCUCGUAGGCGGUUCAACAAGUCGGUCGUGAAAACCCGGGGCUCAACCCCGGGACGCCGGUCGAAACUGUUGUGACUAGGGUCCGGUAGAGGUGAGUGGAAUUCUCGGUGUAGCGGUGGAAUGCGCAGAUAUCGAGAGGAACACCAGUAGCGAAGGCGGCUCACUGGGCCGGUACCGACGCUGAGGAGCGAAAGCAUGGGGAGCAAACAGGAUUAGAAACCCGAGUAGUCC
Molecule: ribosomal RNA, 275 nt
Filed under: uncultured bacterium
Lineage: Bacteria
Description: partial 16S ribosomal RNA
Rfam family: Bacterial small subunit ribosomal RNA
Source: RNAcentral